Molecule: long non-coding RNA, 1119 nt
Organism: Chrysemys picta bellii (western painted turtle)
Lineage: Eukaryota; Metazoa; Chordata; Testudines; Emydidae
Source: RefSeq, a predicted model, not a curated record
AAUGAGCAGCAUUUAUUAGCAAGGCUUGACUUGUAGCUGACUGUCAGGGCAAUGUUUAGUUUAAACUGGAAAACCGGCAGCAUUCAUUUUAAUACGCAGACCGGUAUGCUGGAAAGUUCUGGCCUUACUCUAAAUGAAUGUAAUGUCAGGGCUAGUUCUUCCAGUCACUGACACUGUGCAUUGAUUCCUCCAACAUGCAGGGAAUUCUCCAUUCUACCAGUCCAAGUUAAAUAUUAACAUGAGUUGUCAGUAUGUGAACUCUGUGCUACAUUUGCACUGAGAAAGUGAGCGCCUUGGUUAAGCAUUCAAUCAGAUGGGGGGAAAAAAACCAAAACACUCAAAAAACAAUGCCUUGAACUGUAACUUGUUUGUUUGACUUUCACUGCACUGGAGCAUGGAAUUAAUUCAAAGACAUCAGGAUGCAUAACAGCUGUGAAAUCCAAAGGAUGAAAACUUUGAUUUUGAAGCAUGCACAACUUCGCCUAAUUGCCUCUAAUCCUCAUCAGGAGUAGUUAGCAUUGUAGAAACAAGGAGAUCUUUCCAUCUCUUUGAGCUUCCAUCUGAGAACUCCCCAGUCAUUUGAGGUUCAUGGCAGAGCCUUCUGCUAUUCACUGUGCAUUUCUCUGCCUGAAGUGGUCUGAGGGAUUCAAUGCCUUGAGCCCUCCGGACUGGUGGCCAGGACCCAGGCAGUGUGAGUGCCACUGAAAAUCAGCUCGUGUGCCACCUUCAGUACACGUGCCAUAGGUUGCCUACCCCUGCCUGAGAAAGAUGGUGUGAUGGCGUGCAACCCCAGGAAGGGGUGUCAGUCUUCAGAGAAUUCCCAGAGUGACCAGGAGGAGGUGCCAGACAAGUGGUGAGUGGAGCACCCUGUGACAGUGACCAAUCACAGAGGCUGAAAAGUGAAUUCCAACUAUCAGGUAUUCAAAUGAACACAUGAUAAACAGUUGAUGAUCAUCUGUCUCAAAUAUGUUUGUAAACACUAUUCAUUAAACAAGUAUGAAUAAUGCUCACAUGAAAUCAUCACCUCUUUGCAGAACAGAAGCAAGGGUCAACUCCAAAGUAUAAAUUGGCAAUUGUAGACAAGCCUGAAGAGUAAUAAAAAGAAUAUUUUCAUCCUAA